GAGGCAGGAGAAUGGCGUGAACCUAGGAGGCGGAGCUUACAGUGAGCCAAGAUUGUGCCACUGCACUCAGCCUGGGCGACAGAGCAAGACUCCGUCUCAAAAAAAAAAAAAAAUUCCCUAGUGUGACUGUUCUGCAAUGUAUUUAUCCACUCACCUGUUGAUAGACAUUUGGAGCAUCUCCAGUGUUGGGCUAUUAAGAUCAGUGCUGCCAUGAAUAGUCUUGUGUUUUGGUGCACAUAUGCGCACAUUACUGGGUUCUAAGGUGAGGGAUGCUCAAUGCUAGUAGACACUGCCAAAUACUUUUCCAAAGUGAUUUUGUCUCCACUGGCAGGAGCAGUACAUGAGUGUCUGCUCGUACCACAUCCUCCUGCACUAUGGCCAACCCUUUGAGUUUGAGAACAUAGGUACUUGUGGAACAGGCUGGCAUUCAAUUGCCUGCGUUUGAAUCCCAGGUCUCUUCUUUUUAUGUGACCUUCAACAAAGUCUGUUUUCUUGUCUGAAAAAUGGGUUGAAAAUCAAAGGGUAGGCCAGGCAGUGGCUCACGCCUGUAAUCCCAGCACUUUAGGAGACCAAGGCGGGAGGAUUGCUUGAGCUCACGAGUUCAAGACCAGCCUGGGCAAUAUGGCAAAAUCCCAUCUCUACAAAAAAAUACAAAAAAUAACUGGAUAUAGUGGCACGCGCCUGUAGUCCCAAGUACUUGGGAGGUUGAGGUGGGAGGAUCACUUGAGCCCAGGAAGCAGAAGUUGCAGUGACCUGAGAUCGCACCACUGCAUUCCAGCCUAGGUGACAGAGUGAGUGAGAUGACUUCUCAAAAAAAAAAAAAAAAAAGGAUAAACCAAGGGGCUGUUGUGAAGAUCCUGCGGACCCGCUAGGUGCUAAGUGCUCCAUAAACGUUAGCUUUUUAUAGCUAAUUCUCACCACAACCCGCCAGAUCACUUCGCCUCUCAGAGCCUCAGUCUCCCCAUCUGUAAAAUGUCAAUGAAAAUUCUAACACACCCACAUAUACACACAGUUGAGAGGCUCACUAGUAAAUGGAAUAAUUUAUAAAAGUGCCUUUUAAUUUUCUUAAGAGACAGGUUCUCACUCUGUCACCCAGACUGGAGUUCAGUGGCAUGUUUAUAACUCACUGCAGCCUCCAACUCUUGGGCUCAAGUGAUCCUCUCACCUCAGCCUCCCAAGUAGCUGAAACUACAGGCCCACAAACAGCUAAUUUUUUAGUUUUUGUGGAGACAGAGUCUUGCUAUGCUGCCCAGGCUGGUCUCGAACCCCUGGGCUCAAGUUAUCCUCCCCUUGGUGUCCCAAAGUGCUGGGAUUACUGGCAUGAGCCAACACGCCCAGCAGUGAUUCUUGCUCUCAAGGAAUUUGCCAUCUAGUGGGGAGGAAAACCAUGUACAUCACUCACUGUGAACGCAAAGCCGAAUGAAAUUAGACUUGUAUUAGAACAACGGUGGUAGGGCUGGGCACGGUGCCUCACUCCUGUAAUCCCAGCACUUUGGGAGGCCGAGGCGGGUGGAUCAUGAAGUUAGACGUUCGAGAUCAGCCUGACCAACAUGGUGAAACCCCAUCUCUACCAAAAAAUAAAAAUUAGCCAGGCGUGGUGGCGCAUGCCUGUAAUCCCAGCUACUCAGGAGGCUGAGGCCGAGAAUCACUUGAAUCUGGGAGGCGGAGGUUGCAGUGAGCCGAGAUGGCGCCACUGCACUCCAGCCUGGAUGACAGAGCGAGACUUGGUCUCAAAAAAAAAAAAAAAAAAAAAAAA
This 1756-nucleotide long non-coding RNA is filed under the name Macaca fascicularis (crab-eating macaque). RNAcentral's name for it is "lncRNA (ENSMFAG00000051164.1)". The record is from RNAcentral. Lineage: Eukaryota; Metazoa; Chordata; Mammalia; Primates; Cercopithecidae.